Molecule: ribosomal RNA, 792 nt
Filed under: uncultured Thermoplasmata archaeon
Lineage: Archaea; Methanobacteriati; Thermoplasmatota; Thermoplasmata
Description: bacterial SSU rRNA
Rfam family: Archaeal small subunit ribosomal RNA
Source: RNAcentral
ACKGCUCAGUAACACGUGGAUAACCUACCCUUGGGUCGGGGAUAAACCCGGGAAACUGGGUAUAAUGCCCGAUAGAUCUGGAAGGCUGGAAUGCGUCCAGGUUCAAAGCUCCGGCGCCCAAGGAUGGGUCUGCGGCCUAUCAGGUUGUAGUGGGUGUAAUGUACCUACUAGCCUAAAACGGGUACGGGUUGUGAGAGCAAGGGCCCGGAGAUGGAUUCUGAGACACGAAUCCAGGCCCUACGGGGUGCAGCAGGCGCGAAAACUUUACAAUGCUGGAAACAGCGAUAAGGGGACCUCGAGUGCCAGGUUACAAAUCUGGCUGUCGUAAUGCCUAAAAAGCAUUUCAUAGCAAGGGCCGGGCAAGACCGGUGCCAGCCGCCGCGGUAACACCCGCGCCCCGAGUGGUGGUCGAUAUUAUUGAGCCUAAAACGUCCGUAGCCGGUCUUCUAAAUCCUUGGGUAAAUCGGGCAGCUUAACUGUCCGAAGUCCGGGGAGACUGGGAGACUUGGGACCGGGAGAGGUCAGAGGUACUUCUGGGGUAGGGGUAAAAUCCUGUAAUCCUGGAAGGACCACCGGUGGCGAAGGCGUCUGACUAGAACGGAUCCGACGGUGAGGGACGAAGCCCUGGGGCGCAAACGGGAUUAGAUACCCCGGUAGUCCAGGGCGUAAACGCUGCGGGCUUGGUGUUGGGGGUCCUUAGUGGGCGCCCAGGGCCGGAGAGAAGUUGUUAAGCCUGCUGCUUGGGGAGUAUGUCCGCAAGGAUGAAACUUAAAGGAAUUGGCGGGGGAGCAC